RNAcentral lists this ribosomal RNA (254 nucleotides) under uncultured bacterium. Its description in RNAcentral is "partial 16S ribosomal RNA". It matches the Rfam family "Bacterial small subunit ribosomal RNA", at positions 524 to 776 of the family's 1533-position model. The record is from RNAcentral.
GACAUAGGUGGCAAACGUUAUCCGGAAUUAUUGGGCGUAAAGAGCUCGUAGGCGGUUUGUCGCGUCGUCUGUGAAAACCCACGGCUCAACUGUGGGCUUGCAGUCGAUACGGGCAGGCUAGAGUUCGGUAGGGGAGACUGGAAUUCCUGGUGUAGCGGUGAAAUGCGCAGAUAUCAGGAGGAACACCGGUGGCGAAGGCGGGUCUCUGGGCCGAUACUGACGCUGAGUGCGCGAAAGCCAGGGGAGCAAACGGG